Molecule: non-coding RNA, 283 nt
Filed under: Saimiri boliviensis boliviensis (Bolivian squirrel monkey)
Lineage: Eukaryota; Metazoa; Chordata; Mammalia; Primates; Cebidae
Source: RNAcentral
GCCGGGCAUGGUGGUGCAUGCCUGUAGUCCCAGCUACUCGGGAGGCUGAGGCAGGAGAAUUGCUUGAACCCGGGAGGCGGAUGUUGCGGUGAGCUGAGAUCGCGCCAUUGCACUCCAGACUGGGUAACAAGAGCGAAAGUCCAACUAAAAAAAAAAAAAAGGAAAGCUUUUUCUCUUUUUUUUUAGACAGAGUCUCACUCUGCUGCCCAGGCUGGAGUGCAGUGGUGUGAUCUCAACUCACUGAAGCCUCCACCUCCUGGGUUCAAGUGAUUCUCAUGCCUCA